RNAcentral lists this ribosomal RNA (308 nucleotides) under uncultured bacterium. RNAcentral describes it as "bacterial SSU rRNA". It matches the Rfam family "Bacterial small subunit ribosomal RNA", at positions 40 to 348 of the family's 1533-position model. The record is from RNAcentral.
CGGAAUGCUUUACACAUGUAAGUCGAACGGCAGCACGGGAGCUUGCUCCUGGUGGCGAGUGGCGAACGGGUGAGUAAUAUAUCGGAACGUAUCCAAUAAUGGGGGAUAACUAAUCGAAAGGUUGGCUAAUACCGCAUACGCCCUACGGGGGAAAGCAGGGGAUCUUCGGACCUUGCGUUAAUGGAGCGGCCGAUAUCUGAUUAGCUAGUUGGUGGGGUAAAGGCCCACCAAGGCGACGAUCAGUAGCUGGUCUGAGAGGACGACCAGCCACACUGGAACUGAGACACGGUCCAGACUCCUACGGGAGG